UCCCAGACUCCUACGGGAGGCAGCAGUGGGGAAUAUUGCACAAUGGGGGAAACCCUGAUGCAGCGACGCCGCGUGAGCGAUGAAGUAUUUCGGUAUGUAAAGCUCUAUCAGCAGGGAAGAAAAUGACGGUACCUGACUAAGAAGCCCCGGCUAACUACGUGCCAGCAGCCGCGGUAAUACGUAGGGGGCAAGCGUUAUCCGGAUUUACUGGGUGUAAAGGGAGCGUAGACGGCUGUGCAAGCCAGAUGUGAAAGCCCGGGGCUCAACCCCGGGACUGCAUUUGGAACUGUGUGGCUGGAGUGCUGGAGAGGCAAGCGGAAUUUCUAGUGUAGCGGUGAAAUGCGUAGAUAUUAGGAAGAACACCAGUGGCGAAGGCGGCUUGCUGGACAGUAACUGACGUUGAGGCUCGAAAGUGUGGGUAUCAAACAGGAUUAGAUACCCCUGUA
Molecule: ribosomal RNA, 446 nt
Filed under: uncultured bacterium
Lineage: Bacteria
Description: bacterial SSU rRNA
Rfam family: Bacterial small subunit ribosomal RNA
Source: RNAcentral